CUGCCUUAAAACCACUUUCUGGGCAGUUUUGAGUACCUAACACUAAUUUGGACGAAAUUGGACUAUAACUUGACUCAAAGCACUUAAAACACAAACUAAAUUGAUUUCUAACUAAUCUAACACUUUCAAAUCAAUGGGGGAAUGAUUUUGACGAAAAUUGAAACUUUAAAACUUAAACUUUGAAAAUAAACUUAAAGCAAAACAGAUUGUGAUGAAAUAGAAUGGUGAGAAACUAGUUAGAGGGUUCCUUAUCCACACAUGAACAUAUGCAUACAACUCGAUCUCCAAUUACUCUUUCAACAAA
Molecule: long non-coding RNA, 304 nt
Filed under: Malus domestica (apple)
Lineage: Eukaryota; Viridiplantae; Streptophyta; Magnoliopsida; Rosales; Rosaceae
Description: long non-coding RNA (MDOM_LNC020857)
Source: RNAcentral